ACGCGUGACAACCUGCCUUUCACAGGGGGAUAACGGAUCGAAAGAUUCACUAAUACCGCAUGAGACCACGGGGGUGCAUACCCCAGGGGUCAAAGGAGGAAUCCGGUGGAAGAUGGGCUCGCGUCCGAUUAGAUAGUUGGUGGGGUAACGGCCUACCAAGUCAACGAUCGGUAGCCGACCUGAGAGGGUGAUCGGCCACACUGGAACUGAGAGACGGUCCAGACUCCUACGGGAGGCAGCAGUGGGGAAUAUUGGGCAAUGGGGGGAACCUGACCCAGCAACGCCGCGUGAGGGAAGAAGGUUUUCGGAUUGUAAACCUCUGUCCUUGGUGAAGAGAGGAAGACGGUAGCCAAGGAAUAAGCCCCGGCUAACUACGUGCCAGCAGCCGCGGUAAUACGUAGGGGGCGAGCGUUACCCGGAAUUACUGGGCGUAAAGGGUGCGUAGGCGGCCUUGCAAGUCCGGUGUUAAAAGCCCUGGCUCAACUAGGGAGAUGCGCUGGAAACUGUAAGGCUUGGGUGCAGCAGAGGCAGAUGGAACUGCUGGUGUAGGGGUGAAAUCCGUAGAUAUCAGCAGGAACGCCGGUGGAGAAGUCGGUCUGCUGGGCUGUGACCGACGCUGAGGCACGAAAGCUAGGGGAGCGAACCGGAUUAGAUACCCGGGUAGUCCUAGCCGUAAACGAUGCUCACUUGGUGUGGGGGCAUAGAGCCUCUGUGCUGAAGCGAACGCGUUAAGUGAGCCGCCUGGGGAGUAUGCCCGCAAGGGUGAAACUCAAAGGAAUUGACGGGGGCCCGCACAAGCAGUGGAGCGUGUGGUUUAAUUGGAAGCUAAGCCAAGAACCUUACCAGGGUUUGACAUGCUGGUGGUACGGACUCGAAAGAGGAAGGACCUUAUCGAAAGAUGAGGAGCCAGCACAGGUGGUGCACGGUCGUCGUCAGCUCGUGCCGUGAGGUGUUGGGUUAAGUCCCGCAACGAGCGCAACCCCUACUCUUAGUUACCAGCACGAAAGGUGGGGACUCUAAGAGGACCGCCGGCGACGAGCCGGAGGAAGGAGGGGAUGACGUCAGAUACUCGUGCCCCUUAUGCUCUGGGCGACACACGCGCUACAAUGGGAUGGACAACGGGAAGCCAGGUAGCGAUACUGAGCAAAACCCUAAAACCAUUCCGCAGUUCAGAUUGUGGGCUGAAACCCGCCCACAUGAAGCUGGAAUUGCUAGUAAUCGCGGAUCAGCCACGCCGCGGUGAAUACGUUCCCGGGCCUUGUACACACCGCCCGUC
This 1276-nucleotide ribosomal RNA is filed under the name uncultured bacterium. Its description in RNAcentral is "bacterial SSU rRNA". It matches the Rfam family "Bacterial small subunit ribosomal RNA", at positions 113 to 1398 of the family's 1533-position model. The record is from RNAcentral.